CCCCCCCCCCCAGGUGGCAUCUUGGCAUCCUGUUCCGGGUGCAUUCUGGCUUUGAGCAUUAUUGCGCGUGCCUUUUCCUCUCCCCGCUGCGACCCGGACUACAGUCAGCGAGUGAAUGCCUGGAAUUACCCGCUUAAUUAAUUACGAAGUCAUGCCAAACGGGGUGUCCCCUAAUUUCCAAAACCGGAGCUAAUGGGUAGAUUCUGCAAUUUAAAUCACGAUCCAGAGGUGUUUCUCAGUUCUACUGAGAAUAUGCAGAAGAAGACAGCGCGGAGUCCGGUAAUUCAAAAUGUUUCUGGAGAGGUUCUGGCGUUGGCACAUGUCUUGGAACUGCGGAGGACGCUGACAUGACCUCAGCCCUUUCGGCGGGGCUGCAUCACGCAAGCGCAACGGGGUGGAUUUCAAAGGGCUGCCAGUGGCAGAUGACUGUGGGCGCCUGGAUGGAUGCGGGGACUGCAUCAGCGGAGAUUCCCUCAACCUGACGGGCUGCGUUUGGAGGCAGUGUGAUGACGGUGAGAGUGGGCAAACACGCAUACACACAUAAACAAAAAUAUAUUCUCAUACAUGCAUAUACACGCCCACGCAGACACAACUGGCAGCUGCAGCAGAAAUCGGAUCACCCCCCUGUCACCUGAGCUUGGCGAUUCCACACCAAAUCAGUGAAUAAUUCAGAACCUGGGCCUUCGGUGUGAUGUCACAGUGAAUCGCACACUCAGACGCACACACACGCAUGCAUGGUCGCACCAUUAUUGCUCACCCACUUUAAACACAUUUAGGCGCAAACAACAAACACGCUUCUCUAAAAGCUGGACCAGGGAACAUACUUAUUGCAUCCUCAUUCCUUAAAAAAAAAAUGAGGAUGAAAGAUAGAGAAGGUGGAGACCAUGAUGGAGAGAACCUGGAGAAUUUCACUCUGCUGGAUUUGCUAUCUUGUCUAGUUGCCAAGGCGACGAUGUCUUUGUUCAUAGUGCGUUGAGUGCACCUGGUUGCUAAGGCAACCCAGAUGUUAGUGGCUGAAACAGAGACAGGCCUCAGCAGGCUGGAGCUGGACAGGGGUCCGAGCCGCAGGAGAAUCAUGACGGAUACCGUGUCACAGCAGCCAGCCCAAGGGUGCCUGCUGGUGUCCCAGACGGAUGUAUGACAUUUUAGCAGCUUGCAUUAUGAGUCCGCAUCACACCUCGCCACAGCAGACCAAAGCGUCUAGCGAAAGCUGGGGCAGACAGACCCAGAGAGAGCUGGCUGGUAGGCAAACGAUCAUCCACAACGGCCCAGAAACCAUGACACAUAGAAUGUGACAUCAACCUCCUCGGCCUGCAGCACUGAUCAGGUCACUAGUUGUUUUCAGUUUCACUCUUUUCUGAUCCUGCAAAAACUGAAGCAUGUUAAAUAGGUGUCAGGUGGAAGGGCUGUAUUCUGAUACCUGAGGGAGACAUGCAGUAAGUUUAAUUAUUAACAUCCAAAAAUUAUGUCUGUUCUUCACUGGACAAUGUUCAGCAUCACCGGGAAAUGGUAGCAUGUGUGCCCUGCAUGGAGAACAGACGCGCUCUAAUGACUUUUAUACUUUCUACAGAGCUUCUCUUUCUCUUCUGGUCCCAGUAACAGCGUCAGAAAUAUUGGCCCCUGCCUACGUCUUUCACAUUUAUAAAGGACCCCUAAGACGUGCCUGUUUGAGCACAUGUUUCUGUAGCAUUUCUGUUACUAUCUGAAAACCCAGGUGAAGCACUUGCAGGGAAUACAGUCGCCAUGAACUCCACCCUGCACCUGACUCAUCUCACAGAAGUGCGCUGCCUUUUAUUCCACGUCCCGACACUGGAUGUGACAGCUUUAAGGGGUGAAGCACUGGCAGCAAUGCGUGAAACCUUAGGUCUGUGACGAGGCUGUACCAGAUUCAGCUCUCUCUCCUUUCCAGACACCAUCAGCGGCUGUGUCGCCAGUGGCGAUACUAUAGACGGCUGUUCUGUGUUCAAUGACACAGCCAUGUGCCCAGGUGAGUGACUUCUCAGUUUCAGACAGGCAGACAUACCCCUCCCUGCCUGCACACAUGGAAGAUGGACAGAAACAUGCAAGAUCACGUGAACAGCACCUCAACAGUCACCUGUGUGCGUCAGCAGCACCCUCACACAUGCAUACAUGUACACAAAAGGAACAUGCUACCAUCAUGUGUGCUACAUGUUUGUGGCGCAGUAGUGGACGUCAGUCUUUGUCUGCUUGGGCUUACGCACAUCCAUGUGAUCAGCUGUCGUUUUGCUCUUACACGCCUGAUUCCAGGCCCUGCCACAUCUACACCCGGCAACUCUGUCUCAGGUGAGCUGCACCUCGACGUUCUGCCAUCCUCUUUACCACACUCCCACUUUCCAUCCGUAAACUGCCUAAUCAAAUUCCAGAUGCAAUUCUCAACCAAAAUG
Molecule: RNA transcript, 2405 nt
Organism: Brienomyrus brachyistius
Lineage: Eukaryota; Metazoa; Chordata; Actinopteri; Osteoglossiformes; Mormyridae
Gene: cd164l2
Gene name: CD164 sialomucin-like 2
Exons: 4
Source: RefSeq, a predicted model, not a curated record